This 119-nucleotide ribosomal RNA is filed under the name uncultured archaeon. Its description in RNAcentral is "partial 16S ribosomal RNA". The record is from RNAcentral.
UUCAGCGGUACGCGAAGGGGAAUUCAAGUGCCCAUGUUUUGCGUGGGCUGUUUUUUGGUCUAAAUAACCUUUAGGAGUAAGGGCUGGGCAAGACCGGUGCCAGCAGCCGCGUAAAUAUA